GAUGAAGAACGCAGUGAAAUGCGAUACGUAAUGUGAAUUGCAGAAUUCAGUGAAUCAUCGAAUCUUUGAACGCACAUUGCGCCCGCCAGUAUUCUGGCGGGCAUGCCUGUUCGAGCGUCAUUACAACCCUCAGGCCCCCGGGCCUGGCGUUGGGGAUCGGCGGAGCCCCCCGUGGGCACACGCCGUCCCCCAAAUACAGUGGCGGUCCCGCCGCAGCUUCCAUCGCGUAGUAGCUAACACCUCGCGACUGGAGAGCGGCGCGGCCACGCCGUAAAACACCCAACUCUUCUGAAGUUGACCUCGAAUCAGGUAGGAAUACCCGCUGAACUUAAGCAUAUCAAUAAGCGGAGGA
RNAcentral lists this unclassified non-coding RNA (352 nucleotides) under soil metagenome. Its description in RNAcentral is "partial contains 5.8S ribosomal RNA, internal transcribed spacer 2, and large subunit ribosomal RNA". The stretch from base 1 to 120 matches the Rfam family "5.8S ribosomal RNA", at positions 35 to 154 of the family's 154-position model. The record is from RNAcentral.